Molecule: ribosomal RNA, 465 nt
Filed under: uncultured bacterium
Lineage: Bacteria
Description: partial 16S ribosomal RNA
Rfam family: Bacterial small subunit ribosomal RNA
Source: RNAcentral
GACGAACGCUGGCGGCGUGCUUAACACAUGCAAGUCGUACGGUAAGGCCCUUUCGGGGGUACACGAGUGGCGAACGGGUGAGUAACACGUGCGUAACCUGCCCACAACUUUGGGAUAACGCUAGGAAACUGGUGCUAAUACUGGAUAUGUGCUCCUGCUGCAUGGUGGGGGUUGGAAAGCUCCGGCGGUUGUGGAUGGACUCGCGGCCUAUCAGCUUGUUGGUGGGGUAGUGGCCUACCAAGGCGGCGACGGGUAGCCGGCCUGAGAGGGUGACCGGCCACAUUGGGACUGAGAUACGGCCCAGACUCCGACGGGAGGCAGCAGUGGGGAAUAUUGAACAAUGGGCUCAAGCCGGAUGCAGCAACGCCGCGGGCGGGAUGACGGCCUUCGGGUUGUAAACCGCGUUCAGCAGGGACGAAGCUUUUUGUGACGGUACCUGCAGAAGAAGCACCGGCUAACUACGUG